Molecule: small nuclear RNA, 135 nt
Filed under: Clytia hemisphaerica
Lineage: Eukaryota; Metazoa; Cnidaria; Hydrozoa; Leptothecata; Clytiidae
Description: U11 spliceosomal RNA
Rfam family: U11 spliceosomal RNA
Source: Rfam by way of RNAcentral
GAAAAGGGUAUUUGCCGUCAUUGGCACGCGGCCGCCCACUCACAAGAAUGGGUACCGCGCGGAAUCGCUAUCAAGAGAUUUCGAGUACAUAAUGUUUGGACACGUGAGCUGUAGACCUCGUAGGUAGACGCUCCA